UAUCCAACUAUAAUCUUCAAGGGCUAAACCUGAAUACGUGAUUAGUCCUCUCAGGAAGAAGCGGUACUUGUGGGGAGAACAACUCCAUCUACUCCAUUUAUUCGAUGGAGAAGAAGAAAAGGAACCGGUGUAGAAGAUGGGGAGAUUGAUGGAAAAUCAAUUGGUGGGGAGUUAAUUAGGAAGAUAAUAAAUGUGUGUAUCUGGGCUGGGAAGGCAUCGGGCAAAACGUAGCUGGCACCACAAUUUUCCUCACUCAGUCGUACGCGUCCAGAAGGAAAGCCUGUUGCAUGGUCAAAAGAACGAAACGGCAUCUUCAUUUAUCGGUGGCAGCUCUUAGUAAUUUUCUCAACCUUUGAUCAGACGGCUACACUCUCUUUAACUUUACUAAAUCAAGGGCUAUAACACUCUGUGAUGAUAGCUACCUCCGGGCCUAAAUAAUCAUCAACUUGGUUCACCGAGUCCGAACAAUCUGAUUCAAUUUCUAUCUUGUUGCAUCCAAUGUGAGUUGCCAAGUAUAUCUCGUUUCUGAUGGCAGUUAGCUCAGCUGAGUCAACUCCACAGAUGUAUGAAACAAACCAACUUGCUGCAGCAAUAAAAUCACCCCGUUCGUCUCGAGCCACAGCACCACAAGCACCUGAAAGUGUUUCAUACUGAAAGGAAGCAUCAACAUUUAUCUUCACGAUCCCAUGUCCUGGUUUCCUCCACAUGUGGCCAUUCUUCCUUAUUGGUCCUUUGGGUAUAGUUGACCUGAGGUAAUUUGUCGCCAAAACCUUGAUGGCUAGUGCAGUUUUUUCUGGCGUUUGGACUUUGACUCUCUUUACUAUCUGUCGGCGUUGCCACCAUAUAUACCAUGCUGCUACGACUGCAAGCUUCGCCGUUGGUACCUCCGCAUCAUUGCCUUGAAGCUUUGAUAAAAUUUCCAUCGUAAUAGAUCCUGAUCUGUCCUUGGCGACAACUUUCCAUAUGACUUGUAGCAAGCCCAGCCGCUCCCAAACAUCCGUCGCUCGUCGGCACUUAAAUAAGCAGUGUUGAAUGUCUUCUGCUCCGACUAAACAAACUGGACAUUGAGCUGAGCAUGGGAUGUGUCGGCUUGCUAAUACACCAAAGCAUGGGAGGGUGCCAUGCAAAAUGUUUUAUCUUCCCUGGUAUUUUCAGCUUCCACAUAUCCUUCCAAACUGAGUUUAUAUUUUCUGUAUCUUGCCCAUCAGCUCGCACCCACUGUGCCCCAUGUUGAUGUUCAAACUCCUUAUGAUAAGCCUAUCGCACUGAAAACGUGCCUGAUCGUGUAUAGUUCCAAGCCACAAAGUCUUCCAUCAAGUGAUAAUUCAAGGCGAUUUGUAAUAUCCUAUGAACAUCGACAGGAGAGAAAACAUCACGAAUUAUGAUGGACUUUGCGUCCAUAUCCUUCAGACAUUGCUAUAGAGAGGCCAAUCAGGUGGCAGAUGAAUUAGCAAAAAACUCUUUUACUACUAGACCCUCUAGUUCUUGGGAUGAUGAGACCCCAGAUUUUAUUUCUCAUCUGCUUGUAAAUGACAUGUCUAUUAUUUGAGAAAUAAAGUCUAUUUGCAGUCAAAAAAAAUCAACGGCUAUAACAAUUAGGGUGAUGUGGCUUCAUGAGAAGGCAGGAAAAUCACCUAAUGGGGUGCCCCUAUUUAGAUAUAGAAGAUAUACGAAGUCAUGCACCCGUGUCCCAAAAGGGGUCAAUAGCUCCUGUACGACAUCUUUCGUGGAAAUUGGACGGAAUGUGACAUUGUUGACGAAAAUGGCAAGUUUUUUGAUUUGUGAAUAAAUUUAGAAAAAAGAAACAUUUUCAUGCAUUUGUGAACAAAUUUUCGAAAUCAUGCAAUGGGACGUGAAUAAAAUGUGGUCAUUGUGAUUGAACAUUAUGAUUUUUUUUGUUGCAACGCACGGGCCCUUUCGCUAGUCUCUCCCUAAUUGAACAUAUAAACCCUCCUAGAGUACCCGCAUAGCUGAGGGCAUCGCUCGCGCUCGCCACUUUUGACCACCCGAUCGAGCUGGUACAGUAAUAUUUUGGCUGCUGGCGGCUGGUCAACCGCUCGCUUGUUUUUACUUUUGCGUCUGCUUCACGAGAGAAUGACAUGUGGGGCUCGUUUGGCGUGGGGCCGCGAGAUACACGUGAGUUUUCUUCAGCUUUUGGUACGCGAAGUCUGCGCCGCUUGAUCGUCAAUCGCGAUCUGGGUAAAAGGAACCCUAGGCCCACGAGCCAAUCCCGCACCCGCCUCCCUCGCCAAUCCCGUAGCCGCCUCCCUCGCUUCCUCCGCAGUCCCGCAGCCGCCUCCCCUGCUUCCUCCGCACCUCGCCCCGUGAGCCCCGCUCCCCUCCUUCCCUGCUCUCCACUAUGCCGCCCCCUCCUCUCCUUCACUUUCGGCGCCGCACAUGGGCGAUGGAUCCAUGCCUGAGAAGAGCGGCGGGGACUGCACUCCGGUCGCGGUGGGGUGCAGCCGCGGGAAAGAUGAACUAGGUCCGCCGCCCGUCUUCGUCUCCUCGCCCCGUCCUUGUUGCCUCCAUGGCCAAGCGCAUGUAAUUUUUUUCCUGGCCCUCCAUGGUACUCGUUGCCGGCGGGAUCUCGAGGAACAGGUGACCUCCAUGGCGUUCGUUGCUGCUCUGAAUAGGCAGGGUGGACGCAACGCACACGAUCUCUAGGAAGGCCACGGGAUGACUGUGUGAUGCAGUGAGGACAACAACAAAUCUAUCCUCGUUGAGCUCCCACCCCGACGGCUGCCUGCAGAGGAGGAGAGUUCGAGGACAUCUUUCGGUUCAUGGGGGAGACUCGAACACGGAUAGGGUUUGGGCGGAGGUUGAUUCCCCUCCGACCGAGCGUACCGAGUUGCUUUGCUGUACAAAGAUCCCUUUUUGAUGGUGCCAUGGUGCUCCUCUCUAGG
Molecule: long non-coding RNA, 2903 nt
Organism: Triticum aestivum (bread wheat)
Lineage: Eukaryota; Viridiplantae; Streptophyta; Magnoliopsida; Poales; Poaceae
Exons: 3
Source: RefSeq, a predicted model, not a curated record